Molecule: small nuclear RNA, 107 nt
Filed under: Erinaceus europaeus (western European hedgehog)
Lineage: Eukaryota; Metazoa; Chordata; Mammalia; Eulipotyphla; Erinaceidae
Description: U2 spliceosomal RNA
Rfam family: U2 spliceosomal RNA
About the family: U2 is a small nuclear RNA (snRNA) component of the spliceosome (involved in pre-mRNA splicing). Complementary binding between U2 snRNA (in an area lying towards the 5' end but 3' to hairpin I) and the branchpoint sequence (BPS) of the intron results the bulging out of an unpaired adenosine, on the BPS, which initiates a nucleophilic attack at the intronic 5' splice site, thus starting the first of two transesterification reactions that mediate splicing.
Source: Rfam by way of RNAcentral
AUCGCUUCUUGGCCUUUUGGCUAAGAUCAAGUGUAGUAUCUGUUCUUAUCAGUUUAAAAAUUAAAUUAGGGUGGGGGUAAAUGGCAUAAUGGUUCAGCAGACUCUCA